RNAcentral lists this ribosomal RNA (616 nucleotides) under uncultured bacterium. RNAcentral describes it as "bacterial SSU rRNA". It matches the Rfam family "Bacterial small subunit ribosomal RNA", at positions 338 to 945 of the family's 1533-position model. The record is from RNAcentral.
CCUACGGGAGGCAGCAGUGGGGAAUUUUGGACAAUGGGCGAAAGCCUGAUCCAGCAAUGCCGCGUGAGUGAAGAAGGCCUUCGGGUUGUAAAGCUCUUUUGUCAGGGAAGAAACGGUGAGGGCUAAUAUCCCUUGCUAAUGACGGUACCUGAAGAAUAAGCACCGGCUAACUACGUGCCAGCAGCCGCGGUAAUACGUAGGGUGCAAGCGUUAAUCGGAAUUACUGGGCGUAAAGCGUGCGCAGGCGGUUUUGUAAGUCUGUCGUGAAAUCCCCGGGCUCAACCUGGGAAUUGCGAUGGAGACUGCAAGGCUAGAAUCUGGCAGAGGGGGGUAGAAUUCCACGUGUAGCAGUGAAAUGCGUAGAGAUGUGGAGGAACACCGAUGGCGAAGGCAGCCCCCUGGGUCAAGAUUGACGCUCAUGCACGAAAGCGUGGGGAGCAAACAGGAUUAGAUACCCUGGUAGUCCACGCCCUAAACGAUGUCUACUAGUUGUCGGGUUUUAAUUAACUUGGUAACGCAGCUAACGCGUGAAGUAGACCGCCUGGGGAGUACGGUCGCAAGNUUAAAACCUUNAAUAGAGUUAGAGNGNGNGAGNGCGAGAGACGACGAGGAGAGG